UACGUAGGUGGCAAGCGUUGUCCGGAAUUAUUGGGCGUAAAGCGCGCGCAGGCGGUCCUUUAAGUCUGAUGUGAAAGCCCACGGCUCAACCGUGGAGGGUCAUUGGAAACUGGGGGACUUGAGUGCAGAAGAGGAAAGCGGAAUUCCACGUGUAGCGGUGAAAUGCGUAGAGAUGUGGAGGAACACCAGUGGCGAAGGCGGCUUUCUGGUCUGUAACUGACGCUGAGGCGCGAAAGCGUGGGGAGCAAACAGGG
This 254-nucleotide ribosomal RNA is filed under the name uncultured bacterium. RNAcentral describes it as "partial 16S ribosomal RNA". It matches the Rfam family "Bacterial small subunit ribosomal RNA", at positions 524 to 777 of the family's 1533-position model. The record is from RNAcentral.